CAAAAACAAAAACAUAUAGGCUCUUCCUCUAUCCUCUUUCCAAGCUCAAAAUGAUCGGUCACAGGGGCGGCUGUCAGACGGCUCUGUCAAGUUUCAGGCGUAGACUGAUCGGAUUUAGCGCCUUGUUGAUGCUGUCUGAAGAUUUUAAGUAAAACUUAGAGCAUGUAAAAAAAAGUCUUACGUGUAAAGUAUGUUUCCUGAAGGUGAAAACUUGCGGAUCAUCCAUUCAGGGAUGAUUUCUUGCAGCAGUUUUAGCUGUUCCUCUACUUCAACUGUGAAUACAGUUUGAGUCAGUAUAAAAUGCUUAAGAGUAAAUUUCAGAUGAUGUAAAUUGGAAAAAAUAUGUGUGCUCACUUUCAUCGGUGAUGUCUAGAUGACAUUCAGUCAAGGCGUGAAUCAAUGCCUCUUUUCUAAUUGCUGAAGAUUUGGGAUUCUGAAAUAGUAUAUAUAUUCUGUCGAAGAGCUUAGGAAGUUUUUUCAUCAUCUGUUUCCUUUUUACCAUUUCUACACUUUGCUUCUCCUUUUCCUUUAGCUGCAUCAAGAAAUCAGGCAGUCAAAUGGAUGCCAAAGCCUCAAUUCCAACAAUACGAGUAGGUUAAGGAAAUAGAUUCUAGAUAUACAGAGUGUUAGAAUAUUUAACAUAUCCUGAGGCCUCAACCAUUAGCUUAAGCUAUUGGUUGAGGCCCCAAGAUAUAUUAUAUAUUCCAACACGCCCCCUCACACGAGAACCCUUUGGGCUAGAAGUGUAGAUGUAACACAGGUUCUCCUCAUACCUGGCGCUAAGUAUUCAACUUUAAGUGAGGGCUGGUUGAGAUUCAAACCUGUGACCUUUAGUCACAUUGGCUUUGAUACCAUGUCAAGGAACCAACUCAACCAAAAGUUUAAGCUAAUGGUUGAGGCCCAAUAUAUAUUAUAUAUACUAACACAGAGUAUAAAAAAGAAAUCCAGAGCAGUACCGAUUGUAAAAGAUUCUUGGGAAGAAUAUCGUUAAUAUUAGAGCAUUCAGAGUCGUCAAUGUGAAGUUCAAUGUGUACAUCUCUUGAAGGUUCAUCAAAUCGAAGUGAUCUAGCGCAAGACUGCCGAUCAAAUACUUUUUUAUCUACACUUGAACAAGAUCUCUUAGGUGUUCGCAGAAGUGGUGUGGAUGGUUUGAUUGGAGUUCCAGAAAAUUUAAUCGGUGUUGCCUGCUCGUGCUGCUCAGGACAAGUAUCAAUAUCUGCCAGAGGUUUGUGCUUCUGUUGACCAGCGGGGAGCUUACAAGGCAGAGUCUCUGGUAGAAGAGGAGUAGAUGAAUUUGAAUUCCCAUCAUUAGAUGGAUUCAAAACGGGCAUUAAUUGUUCUUGGUGCGAGGACACUAAUGGAUUCUGGAGACUCUUCCUUAAUUCGUAGUCUGAACCUCCUCUUGAAAAAUGGUUCCUGAAAGAUGGAGGAAUAUGGGAUGCUCGUGCUGUAUGUAACUCUACAGCUACACCAGAGAAAUUCUGCGUGGGAGGACGGGAACUGGAAGGUUUGGAGAUACUUAACAAUGCAUCGUGCCUUUUCUGAUUGAAUGGUUCAGGCAAUUUUUCUUCAGGGGAGUUCAUAUGGGCGAUUGUCUCAGGAUAUCAUUUGCAAUAGCAUACUUCACCAGAAAGAUAUGAGCUACUAACAUCACAAGCUGGAAUUCGUUACCUCAGGAUGAUCCCUUAGAAACUCCAAGAGCUGUGAAA
Amaranthus tricolor (Joseph's coat) is the source of this 1709-nucleotide long non-coding RNA. RefSeq lists it as uncharacterized. The transcript is spliced from 3 exons. The record is from RefSeq and is a predicted model, not a curated record. NCBI's taxonomy places the organism in Eukaryota, Viridiplantae, Streptophyta, Magnoliopsida, Caryophyllales, Amaranthaceae.